AUUUUAGUCCCUCCCUAAUAAAAUUUAGAUGGCUUACUUCUGUCCUCGUAGGGCCUGGCUGUCAUCUUGUCUAAUGGGAAGCACUUCCUUCACAACUUCACUUUCAAGAUGAUGCUCAGACUCUCUGCUCUGGUGACAGUGCUCUGUCUACCCUGUUUAAAUGGUCAGGCUUUGGAGUCCAUUCCCUCCACGUCAGUGUUGAAAAAGCCUCAGGAAGCCUUCAGUCUUUCCUGUAGAGGGUCUGGUUUUGACUUUGGCCAGUAUGGAAUGCACUGGAUCAGACAACCAGCAGGAAAGACACUAGAAUGGAUGGGAGCAAUCUGGUAUGAUGCAAGUAAAACCAUUUAUGCCAGCAGUGUGCAAGGACGUAUAGAAAUCACCAGAGACAACAGCAACAGCAUGGUGCAUCUGAGCCUUUCCAGCCUAAAGCCAGAGGACUCUGCUGUGUAUUACUGUGCUAGAAAGCCACAGUAACACAACCCUUCACUAGAACUGAACAAAAACCCCUCACUGAACAGUUCUAACAUGAAACCACCAGAGGAGGAGCUCUCGGACCACUGAUGAUUUCAGAUCAGCAUAAUAAGUCAAUACAUAAGAUUGAAAUAUAAUCUCGAAACAAAGGUGAUUAUUAAUUCCAGUUCUCAUAAACAUUAUUUCUCACAGACGAAGGUUACUUUUCUUAAUCCCUCUUCUUUUCUUCAACAACCAAAAACAUAUUCUGGUAUACAUAACCCUCAAAGUAAACCACAUUGCUGUAUGUUUCUUCGAAAGCAUAAAAAAUAUGAAAGUGUUGCAUAGUUUAGUAGUUACAAGUUCAUGAGUCCAUGUUUACAAACAAAGCAAAAGAAUGCAAUUUAAUGCUUUUUUUGAUUUAAAAAAAAGCAAAUGAAAAAUAUUUCAGUCAGCUAUUUUAGAGGCCCAAGGACUUUGCAACCUGGUCUUCUAUUGUGUGCCUUUCUCUUGUUCUGUCUAUAUUCCUGCUGUUUGUAUAUAUCUCUCAUGUUUUUUUUAUUUAUUUCUGCUAUCUUACUAUUUAUAUUUUAUACCUG
Haplochromis burtoni (Burton's mouthbrooder) is the source of this 1049-nucleotide non-coding RNA. Lineage: Eukaryota; Metazoa; Chordata; Actinopteri; Cichliformes; Cichlidae. The record is from the annotation of a RefSeq genome assembly.